CCUACGGGAGGCAGCAGUGAGGAAUAUUGGACAAUGGGCGCAAGCCUGAUCCAGCCAUGCCGCGUGCAGGAAGAAGCAUCUAUGGUGUGUAAACUGCUUUUGUACAGGAAGAAACACUCCCUCGUGAGGGAGCUUGACGGUACUGUAAGAAUAAGGACCGGCUAACUCCGUGCCAGCAGCCGCGGUAAUACGGAGGGUCCGAGCGUUAUCCGGAAUCAUUGGGUUUAAAGGGUCCGUAGGCGGUUUAAUAAGUCAGUGGUGAAAUCUGGUCGCUCAACGAUCAAACGGCCAUUGAUACUGUUAGACUUGAAUUAUAAGGAAGUAACUAGAAUAUGUAGUGUAGCGGUGAAAUGCUUAGAUAUUACAUGGAAUACCAAUUGCGAAGGCAGGUUACUACUUAUGGAUUGACGCUGAUGGACGAAAGCGUGGGGAGCGAACAGGAUUAGAUACCCUGGUAGUCCACGCCGUAAACGAUGGAUACUAGCUGUUCGGAGCAAUCUGAGUGGCUAAGCGAAAGUGAUAAGUAUCCCACCUGGGGAGUACGUUCGCAAGAAUGAAACUCAAAAGAGUAGUAGACGUGAGAGUAGCGACGAGGACACCAGGGAGGGUUAGG
Molecule: ribosomal RNA, 613 nt
Filed under: uncultured bacterium
Lineage: Bacteria
Description: bacterial SSU rRNA
Rfam family: Bacterial small subunit ribosomal RNA
Source: RNAcentral